AUCUGUGGCCAUACCACCCUGAACGCGCCCGAUCUCGUCUGAUCUUGGAAGCAAAGCAGGGUCGGGCCUGGUUAGUACUUGGAUGGGAGACCGCCUGGAAAUACCGGGUGCCGCAGGCU
Ribosomal RNA from Callithrix jacchus (white-tufted-ear marmoset), 119 nucleotides. Lineage: Eukaryota; Metazoa; Chordata; Mammalia; Primates; Cebidae. The record is from Ensembl.